This 225-nucleotide long non-coding RNA is filed under the name Lathyrus oleraceus (garden pea). RNAcentral's name for it is "Pisum sativum (pea) long non-coding RNA (PSAT_LNC028150)". Lineage: Eukaryota; Viridiplantae; Streptophyta; Magnoliopsida; Fabales; Fabaceae. The record is from RNAcentral.
AAUAAUAACACUAUCAUUCAUAUUCAAACAACAACAAUAACUGUUACAGCAGCAGCGGCAUUUACUACUCUUAUUCACUUGACGUGGACUACUCUAACCAAUACAACAGACUCAGUCAAGACUCACUCACCCACCCCAAUUCAUGCCUUUUUCUUUUUCUAUUCUAUUUCUAUGCUUUUCUGCUAUACACUUUACACCUUCUUCUCUUUCUUUUCCUUCUCCUCC